Long non-coding RNA from Spinacia oleracea (spinach), 2621 nucleotides. RefSeq lists it as uncharacterized. The transcript has 6 exons. Lineage: Eukaryota; Viridiplantae; Streptophyta; Magnoliopsida; Caryophyllales; Amaranthaceae. The record is from RefSeq and is a predicted model, not a curated record.
UUGGGGGAAAAAAUUAAAAAACCUACUCGCAGCGAACCAUGGGAGUGCACGCUAAGAAAAGGUUGCUUAAUUGCAGCUUCCUACGGAUCUCCACGCUGCGUGAACCUUUUUCCAGAUCUAAAAACAUUGUGAAGUCUCCUCUCUCCCUAGAACUCUCCGUCCAUUUCAAACCCUAGAAUUCAUUAUCUCUCCGUUUCAUCCAAUUCGUUCAAUGGCCAAUUCGUUCAAUGGGUUUAUGAAAGAGCUUCGAUAUGGUUCCUUCCAGCUCUCAUUACAAUCUAGACGAGUGGAUCGACUGCUGAUGUAUCGCAAGCCUCCCCGGCCCUCCUGCAAUAGAGAGAUAAAGAGAUGGCGGAUGAGAGAGAGGACGUCGACCUUGUACUGCGCUUGAAGUUCUACCUUCACUUCGUCAAUUGUGUAGCUAGUCGGGAAAAUAUGGCAGCCAUUAGCAAGUAUAUGGGCUUGAGCAGUGUUAAAUCGGGUCCUAAUCAUGCCCGUGGGUUGUGUUUAUAAUUAUGGCCCCUCAGACGGAUUUUCUGGACCUGCCUGAGGGAGAUGAUCAGAUCACUGAUCAGGAAGCGGAUGAGAAUGAAGCUGCUUCAUGGUUGCUACUUAACCCAGGUGCAGCCGUUCAGGUAAUCAGUUCUGCGAGCCGUUGUAUAACCAGCAGCAGGAAUUCAGUGUGGAGAUGACAGUUAAGUGUAGGGAACCAAAAUAUCACCAAAUACAGUAUCAGAACUUGCUAAAUGUUGUGAAGGAUUCGAUUGUUCAGGGGUAAACUUGUUGGGCAGUAUGUUGCAGCUAAUGACGCUGGACCUCUGAUGUCAACAAUGCAGGUUGUAUUGCUUCUUGUGUUAUCUGGUGCAUUUCUUAGAGCCAAUCAAAUUUGUUUCUCCUGCGAUGCCACCCGAUACUGUGAGAACUGUGGCUGUUCUGUGUGGACAUGCAAUUGCUCAGAGUUCUUCAGCAAUCCUCGGCCAUAGUUAUUUGAGUGGUAACUUUUAUUGUUUGUCUUUGCUUUGUUUCCAAUCCAUUAUUAGUUUUAUACUUCUAACUGACCUCAAGCUGCAAAGAAGAGGGUGGCGGGAUGAUUAGGUUUGGUCUGAUGGUGAUUGCUGCCGGGCAAUGGUGGCUUGGUGGGGUUGUCGAUAUAAUUGCGGUAGUGUAAGGUAGUAGAAUUACAGCUAUUUUGCAUAGAUAUAAAAGGUGUCAUUAAGUUGUAUGGAGUAAAUGAGAUACUCCAUUAAAAAGGAAGAGUAAUGAGAUACUCCAUUAAAAAGGUAAGUGGCGGUUAGAUACUUAGAUAUAGGUAGUGGAGGGAGUGGGUGAAAUAAUGAUAUUCAUUUUAACAUUUUAUUUUUUCCGGAAUUCAUAAUAUACCGUUCUGCUAAAAAUAUGAUGUCUUCGUUUUUAUUUGAAUAAAUGAAUAUCUGAGAGACCAAAUUUCUUUGUUGCCUGAUUUUAAAUUGAUUUUCUAAGAAACUAUAUUUCUUAGUUGUAUGGUUUCUUUAUCUAAGUUACCAAUUAAGUGACAUAUAUGAUUUCUUAGACCAUUUUUGUAGUAGUGCUUCCUUAUAUAGUAGUAGUUGUCCCUCUAAAUUAUAUGUAGCUAAUAACAAAAAUUAUCUCCAUCAACCGUUGCUUUGAGAUUAUAGUGUAGCUAGAUUAUUUAGACUUAUGUAUAUUGAUGAUCUGGAGCUUAUUGUCUAUAAUUGCAACAUACUGCUACAUGCUUAGUAAUCAAUGUCGACCUGAUAUCUUAUUUAUUUAUUUGUUUGUUUAUUUGGGGGGAGGGGGAUAGAUAAUGGUUCAGAAUAUAUAAACAGCCUGGAAAAGACUUGUGUGUCCGUCCACCUUGGAAAAUUUUCACUAUCUGACUUGCCACCUGUCUCUUACGAAAGUCUGAAAUUAUGUUGAUUGUUGUGUUUCUUUAUGAGAACCAAAGCCCAAGUUUCGAAUGGCAAAUCGUUUUGGACUUGGAUCUUCUUUGGAAAAUUAUAUUCUUUGUCAUGACUGUGUUUUAGUUCACAUAGACAAAGUAGUUGAUGGACAUAAUAAUUUAACUUUUGAAGUAGUAAUGCAAACGACAUAGAAAUACAACCAGUAACAAAGAAUAAAGUCAUCAAAUACUAUAUUUACUUAUUGUGUUUAAUGGGUUAAUGCAAAACAUACAUUCGUUUUUUAAAGUUGUUCAAUGUUGGUUUAUUUGUCGGGGAAGUAAAUUUUCAUAUGUUCAUUUUUUAAAUUCAUUAUCCGGGAAGUACUAAUCCCCCGACCUCUCAUCUUGAUUUAUUUGUUUAAUUUCUUUGCAAGGCUCGGUACGAGGAGGAUGACACUCAUUCAAAGAGAGGUAUUCUCCUGCUAUAUAGAGCAUGGUGGGCAACGGAUAGGAGAAUGAGUUUGUUGUCUAGUAAUGUUAUGUUUUAUGUUUUUGUUAUGUGUUGGAUAUGACGUUGGAUGCUACUUGGAGCAUAUAUAUGGUUGUUGGAACAUAUAUGUAUGUUUUGUCUUAUAUACAGGUCUUUGUAAAUUCCCGUUUUGUCCGGGUUUCGCAAAUUACAAGGGAAAUUAUGGCAAAUUUUUUGCAACCUAUUAAACUAUUUAUAAUGUUUUUAUUAUAA